Molecule: long non-coding RNA, 890 nt
Organism: Paramormyrops kingsleyae
Lineage: Eukaryota; Metazoa; Chordata; Actinopteri; Osteoglossiformes; Mormyridae
Source: RefSeq, a predicted model, not a curated record
GGUGGGGCCGUGAUUCGGGCUGGGUGUGCGGAAUAGGCGGCCUGGAUUAGGGAAAAUGCCGGACUGGAUCCAGCUGAAGCAGAAACUACGGAGCGAUUUCUCCAGGAUGAGGACUGCAUUCCCAGCUUAUGACGGUGAACACAAGACCCCAUCAUCCCGCAUGAAGCCCUACUCUUCCCUUUCCUGCUGCUAUUCUGAGAACCCAGCCGCCACGCUGAGUUAACAAGAUACUCCUGAUACCAGGUGUUCCUGAACGUAUCUGAACACAAGCCAUCCAAAAAGAAAGUGAGCAGGUCUCUUUUCCCCUCAGUCUGGAGCCUCUAGAUCAUCAGUUCUGCAUUUUCUGACGAAUUUGCUGCUUCCAGAGUGCCUGUGCUGCUUCUUUCACACGUUAUCACGCUUCAGAAAACCCCGGUGCUGCUCUGAACAUGUACCGCCCCAAAUAAUCCUGCUGCCGGCAUCCAACAAAUGAAAACAUUAUCAAUGUUUCACGGCCCUUAUUGUUAAUUCAUACACUGUAUAUCUUUAAUUAUUGAGUUGAAAACUUAACAAAUUCAUGAAAUCUCCAGGGGCAGUAUCAUAAAUAUGCAGUUUGUACUUUAAUUGGCUGGUAAAGACACUAAAUACUGUCAAAGAGUCUGGAAAGGAAGUUUAUCUGUUCUGGGUAAGAGGUGGCAUUGAGAGCUACUGAAAUUGGUCCUUAUCUAGCACUAAAAUGUUGCUCAUGUACACCCUAAUAAAACCAUAAUAUUUUCCAUGCUGGCUCAUGGUGCUUCACCUAAAAUGUUAAGGUUCAGCUGCAUGACAGGUAACAUUGUAAGCUGGAUUUAAAAAGCCUAUGCUAGAAAAUGACAGAUUGCUGCAUCACAUCAGAGGGCAAUCCAACCUUA